UGGGGAAUUUUGCGCAAUGGGCGAAAGCCUGACGCAGCAACGCCGCGUGAGUGAUGAAGGCUUUCGGGUCGUAAAGCUCUGUCGAGGGGAAAGAAGUGUAUUGUGGUUAAUACCCAUGAUACUUGACGGUACCCCUAAAG
This 140-nucleotide ribosomal RNA is filed under the name uncultured Pelobacter sp. Its description in RNAcentral is "partial 16S ribosomal RNA". It matches the Rfam family "Bacterial small subunit ribosomal RNA", at positions 355 to 486 of the family's 1533-position model. The record is from RNAcentral. Lineage: Bacteria; Pseudomonadati; Thermodesulfobacteriota; Desulfuromonadia; Desulfuromonadales; Desulfuromonadaceae.